AACUGAUACUACCUGCGGGAACCUGCGGAAGGAUCAUUAUUGAAUUAUGUUUCUAAAUGGGCUGUAGCUGGCUCGUCAGAGCAUGUGCACGCCUGUUUGGACUUCAUUUUCAUCCACCUGUGCACCUAUUGUAGUCUUUGGUUGGGUAUCGAGGAAGUGGUCAGCCUAUCAGCACUUGCUGGAUGUGAGGACUUGCAGUGUGAAAGCUUUGCUGUCCUUUACUUGAUCAUGGAGCUGUUU
RNAcentral lists this unclassified non-coding RNA (240 nucleotides) under soil metagenome. RNAcentral describes it as "partial contains 5.8S ribosomal RNA, internal transcribed spacer 2, and large subunit ribosomal RNA". The record is from RNAcentral.